AAGGAGGUGACCGAGCGGUUUAGGUAGUGUCUUUGAAAGACAUUUGAUAGGGGUUCAAAUCCUUUUCUUCUUA
This 73-nucleotide transfer RNA is filed under the name Rhabdopleura sp. NHMO H2137. Its description in RNAcentral is "tRNA-Ser". It matches the Rfam family "tRNA". From Rfam's summary of the family: Transfer RNA (tRNA) molecules are approximately 80 nucleotides in length. Their secondary structure includes four short double-helical elements and three loops (D, anti-codon, and T loops). The record is from RNAcentral. Lineage: Eukaryota; Metazoa; Hemichordata; Pterobranchia; Rhabdopleurida; Rhabdopleuridae.